This 74-nucleotide transfer RNA is filed under the name Lachnospiraceae bacterium. RNAcentral describes it as "tRNA-Pro". It matches the Rfam family "tRNA". Rfam says of the family: Transfer RNA (tRNA) molecules are approximately 80 nucleotides in length. Their secondary structure includes four short double-helical elements and three loops (D, anti-codon, and T loops). The record is from RNAcentral. Lineage: Bacteria; Bacillati; Bacillota; Clostridia; Lachnospirales; Lachnospiraceae. RNAcentral also lists the same sequence under 1 other name.
CGGGGUGUGGCUCAGUCUGGUAGAGCACUACUUUAGGGAAGUAGGGGCCGCAAGUUCAAAUCUUGUCACUCCGA